Molecule: transfer RNA, 71 nt
Filed under: Ictidomys tridecemlineatus (thirteen-lined ground squirrel)
Lineage: Eukaryota; Metazoa; Chordata; Mammalia; Rodentia; Sciuridae
Description: Spermophilus tridecemlineatus (thirteen-lined ground squirrel) tRNA
Rfam family: tRNA
About the family: Transfer RNA (tRNA) molecules are approximately 80 nucleotides in length.
Source: Rfam by way of RNAcentral
GGGGGUGUGGCUCAGUGGUAGAGAGCUUGCCUAGCAUAUGCAAGGCCCUGGAUUCAAUCCCAGCACCACCA